Gallus gallus (chicken) is the source of this 1202-nucleotide long non-coding RNA. Lineage: Eukaryota; Metazoa; Chordata; Aves; Galliformes; Phasianidae. The record is from Ensembl.
CACGUGGGAGCGCCGGGCUCCGUCUGCUGCAGAGCCCCCCGGUGGUGAAAGGUGCUGGAUUGACAAGGCACGGAGACGGAAAGGCCUCCGGGCUCCGCUGAAGUUUACAUUUACAAAGGACACAGAGAAUAAAUAGAAGACAGUGUUUAGAGUCCUCUGUAGACACUUCAGACUUGCUUAUAAUUCUGCAGCAAUUCCAUCACCUCUGAAGUGAUUGAUGCUCUCUAUAAAGUCGUGCCUUAAAACAUUUUCCUACGUGUCAGGGAGAGAAGUUUAUGAUGCUGUACGGAGGGCAGGAUGGUGCUGUGCAUCAGGGCUGCCUACCUGGGGCAGCUGCAAUGGGGCUGCUUUCACACACCUUCAUCCAACUGUUGUGUUCGUCUUUCUUUCUUUCCCCCCCCCCCGCCCCAAAGCUUUCAUUUGCAUUCGGUGGAACAGCAAAAUGUGUCUGAUCCAACAGAAAGGAAAUUAUGUUUUCCUUUCCAUCACCGCUCUCAUUGAGAAGAGGCUGCUUUGGGGCGGAGCUGCUCGCCUUGCUUUGGGCGUGAGGAAUUCUUUUUGUUGACGUGAGUGGAGAUUGCAGUGAAUGUGAUGGAGACAUUCAGCAGUGCUGAUGGGGCGGCCGGGAGAGUGGGAGCUCCUGACCUCUCACUGCCUUCUGUGGGGGGAAUGUGGGGCCAACCCACACUUGCUCAGCUCUAUGGGCUCCUGAAGCUGUCAGGAAGGGCGAAUCAUCAGUGCUGGGGGCAGACUGGGUUGCUGUAUGCACCACGAAGCCUUUCUUCCCCCUCCGCCCAGUGGCUUCUCAGCGACAGACGUACCCUCCUCCAAAGCCAGCACCUAAAUAUACUCCUUGCCCUAUUGCUGCACUCCGUGUGUAUCUUAGCAGUAAACAUUUCCACUCGUGCUCAUCUGCCAAACAGCAUUGCCUGUGCUGUGAGCUGUAUGUCUGGGUGGGCAGCAGCAGCAGCAGCAGCAGCAGGGAGGUUCCCUGGGCUGAUCCUGCAGGCUGAUCUGAGCCAUCCCAGCCGUGCUGAGCCGUACACCUGCAGCUCUGCUCCGUCCUCACCGCUGAGUGCAGCAGCUCCUGGAGCAGCAUCAGUGUGUGCGUUCUGCCACGCAGGCACGGGGCACAGGCAGUGGUUUGCUGCUCCUGCCUACAUCUCAUCCCCGUGGUAACUCUGUAGGGAGAAGCUGAUGUC